Molecule: long non-coding RNA, 203 nt
Filed under: Lathyrus oleraceus (garden pea)
Lineage: Eukaryota; Viridiplantae; Streptophyta; Magnoliopsida; Fabales; Fabaceae
Description: Pisum sativum (pea) long non-coding RNA (PSAT_LNC003818)
Source: RNAcentral
GAAACAUAAUGCUUAAGUACCACCAAGUAUUUUGGAAGUUCUUUGUAUGACUCCUCCCAAUUGCCGAACACUUUUUCAAUUGUCUUAGUCCUAGCUAUACAUGCCUUCUUGUAUGAUGGAGUAUAAUUGUAUUGUGUAACGAUAUGCGAGAUUAUUAUACUCACCUUUAACGACGGUUUAUCGCUAAUGAUAGACAAAAUUUU